CAGGCUUAACACAUGCAAGUCGAGCGUAAGCAUGGUCUUAGCUUGCUAAGGCCGAUGGCGACCGGCGCACGGGUGAGUAACACGUAUCCAACCUGCCGUCUACUCUUGGACAGCCUUCUGAAAGGAAGAUUAAUACAAGAUGGCAUCAUGAGUCCGCAUGUUCACAUGAUUAAAGGUAUUCCGGUAGACGAUGGGGAUGCGUUCCAUUAGAUAGUAGGCGGGGUAACGGCCCACCUAGUCUUCGAUGGAUAGGGGUUCUGAGAGGAAGGUCCCCCACAUUGGAACUGAGACACGGUCCAAACUCCUACGGGAGGCAGCAGUGAGGAAUAUUGGUCAAUGGGCGAGAGCCUGAACCAGCCAAGUAGCGUGAAGGAUGACUGCCCUAUGGGUUGUAAACUUCUUUUAUAAAGGAAUAAAGUCGGGUAUGGAUACCCGUUUGCAUGUACUUUAUGAAUAAGGAUCGGCUAACUCCGUGCCAGCAGCCGCGGUAAUACGGAGGAUCCGAGCGUUAUCCGGAUUUAUUGGGUUUAAAGGGAGCGUAGAUGGAUGUUUAAGUCAGUUGUGAAAGUUUGCGGCUCAACCGUAAAAUUGCAGUUGAUACUGGAUAUCUUGAGUGCAGUUGAGGCAGGCGGAAUUCGUGGUGUAGCGGUGAAAUGCUUAGAUAUCACGAAGAACUCCGAUUGCGAAGGCAGCCUGCUAACCUGCAACUGACAUUGAGGCUCGAAAGUGUGGGUAUCUAACAGGAUUAGAUACCUUGGUAGUCCACUCGGUAAACGAUGAAUACUCUGCUGUUUGCGAAAACCUGCAAGCGGCCCAACCGAAAGCGUUAAGUAUUCCACCUGGGGAGUACGCCCGGCAACGGUGAAACUCAAAGGAAUUGACGGGGGCCCGCACAAGCGGAGGAACUUGUGGUUUAAUUCGAUGAUACGCGAGGAACCUUACCCGGGCUUAAAUUGCAGAUGAAUUACGGUGAAAGCCGUAAGCCGCAAGGCAUCUGUGAAGGUGCUGCAUGGUUGUCGUCAGCUCGUGCCGUGAGGUGUCGGCUUAAGUGCCAUAACGAGCGCAACCCUUGUUGUCAGUUACUAACAGGUUCCGCUGAGGACUCUGACAAGACUGUCAUCGUAAGAUGUGAGGAAGGUGGGGAUGACGUCAAAUCAGCUCGGCCCUUACGUCCGGGGCUACACUCGUGUUACAAUGGGGGGUACAGAGGGC
RNAcentral lists this ribosomal RNA (1212 nucleotides) under uncultured bacterium. RNAcentral's name for it is "bacterial SSU rRNA". It matches the Rfam family "Bacterial small subunit ribosomal RNA", at positions 43 to 1247 of the family's 1533-position model. The record is from RNAcentral.